RNAcentral lists this ribosomal RNA (506 nucleotides) under uncultured bacterium. RNAcentral describes it as "bacterial SSU rRNA". It matches the Rfam family "Bacterial small subunit ribosomal RNA", at positions 28 to 526 of the family's 1533-position model. The record is from RNAcentral.
GACGAACGCUGGCGGCGUGGAUUAGGCAUGCAAGUCGAACGGUAUCAUCCUUUCGGGGGUGAGAGAGUGGCGAACUGGUGAGUAACACGUAGGUUAUCUACCCUCAAGACGGGGACAACCCAGGGAAACUUGGGCUAAUACCGGAUGUGAGCAACUUUUAGUUGUUUGAAAGGUGGCGUAAGCUGUCGCUUGGGGAUGAGCCUGCGUCCUAUUAGUUAGUUGGUGAGGUAACGGCUCACCUAGGCAAUGAUAGGUAGGCGGCCUUAACGGGUGGUCGCCCACACUGGGAUUGAGAUACGGCCCAGACUCCUACGGGAGGCAGCAGUCGAGAAUAGUCUACAAUGGUCGGAAGACUGAUAGUGCGACGCCGCGUGAACGAUGAAUCCCUUCGGGGUGUAAAGUUCUUUUAUAUGUGAGCAGUGCUUCUUAUAUUAACAGUAUGGGGAGAGAGAUAUUAGCAUAUGAAUAAGCAACAGCUAACUCCGUGCCAGCAGCCGCGGUAAAAA